UACGGAGGGGGCUAGCGUUGUUCGGAAUUACUGGGCGUAAAGCGUGCGCAGGCGGUUUUGUAAGACUGUCGUGAAAUCCCCGGGCUUAACCUGGGAAUGGCGAUGGUGACUGCAAGGCUAGAGUUUGGCAGAGGGGGGUAGAAUUCCACGUGUAGCAGUGAAAUGCGUAGAGAUGUGGAGGAACACCGAUGGCGAAGGCAGCCCCCUGGGUCAAGACUGACGCUCAUGCACGAAAGCGUGGGGAGCAAACAGG
RNAcentral lists this ribosomal RNA (253 nucleotides) under uncultured bacterium. RNAcentral's name for it is "partial 16S ribosomal RNA". It matches the Rfam family "Bacterial small subunit ribosomal RNA", at positions 524 to 776 of the family's 1533-position model. The record is from RNAcentral.